GUGAGUAACACGUGGGUAACCUGCCUGUAAGAUUGGGAUAACUCCGGGAAACCGGAGCUAAUACCGGAUAACAUUUCGAACCGCAUGGUUCGAAAUUGAAAGAUGGUUUCGGCUAUCACUUACAGAUGGACCCGCGGCGCAUUAGCUAGUUGGUGAGGUAACGGCUCACCAAGGCAACGAUGCGUAGCCGACCUGAGAGGGUGAUCGGCCACACUGGGACUGAGACACGGCCCAGACUCCUACGGGAGGCAGCAGUAGGGAAUCUUCCGCAAUGGACGAAAGUCUGACGGAGCAACGCCGCGUGAACGAUGAAGGCCUUCGGGUCGUAAAGUUCUGUUGUUAGGGAAGAACAAGUACCAGAGUAACUGCUGGUACCUUGACGGUACCUAACCAGAAAGCCACGGCUAACUACGUGCCAGCAGCCGCGGUAAUACGUAGGUGGCAAGCGUUGUCCGGAAUUAUUGGGCGUAAAGCGCGCGCAGGCGGUUUCUUAAGUCUGAUGUGAAAGCCCACGGCUCAACCGUGGAGGGUCAUUGGAAACUGGGGAACUUGAGUGCAGAAGAGGAGAGUGGAAUUCCACGUGUAGCGGUGAAAUGCGUAGAGAUGUGGAGGAACACCAGUGGCGAAGGCGACUCUGUGGUCUGUAACUGACGCUGAGGCGCGAAAGCGUGGGGAGCGAACAGGAUUAGAUACCCUGGUAGUCCACGCCGUAAACGAUGAGUGCUAAGUGUUAGAGGGUUUCCGCCCUUUAGUGCUGCAGCAAAC
This 765-nucleotide ribosomal RNA is filed under the name bacterium. RNAcentral describes it as "bacterial SSU rRNA". It matches the Rfam family "Bacterial small subunit ribosomal RNA", at positions 106 to 856 of the family's 1533-position model. The record is from RNAcentral.